UACAGAGGUCUCAAGCGUUGUUCGGAUUCAUUGGGCGUAAAGAGUGUGUAGGCGGUGCUCCAAGUCUGGUGUGAAAUCUCCCGGCUCAACUGGGAGGGUGCAUUAGAAACUGGAAUGCUAGAGGAUGGGAGAGGUAAGCGGAAUUCCUGGUGUAGCGGUGAAAUGCGUAGAUAUCGAGAGGAACACCUGCGGCGAAGGCGGGUUGCUGGGCCGACACUGACGCUGAUGCGCGAAAGCCAGGGGAGCGAACGGG
This 253-nucleotide ribosomal RNA is filed under the name uncultured bacterium. RNAcentral's name for it is "partial 16S ribosomal RNA". It matches the Rfam family "Bacterial small subunit ribosomal RNA", at positions 524 to 776 of the family's 1533-position model. The record is from RNAcentral.